GGACUACUGGGGUAUCUAAUCCUGUUUGAUCCCCACGCUUUCGUGUAUGAGUGUCAGUAUAGGACCAGGUCGCCGCCUUCGCCGCCGGUGUUCCUCCUGAUAUCUACGUAUUUCACCACUACACCAGGAAUUCCACGACCCUCUUCCUUACUCAAGUUUGGGAGUUUUGAAUGCACUUCCCGAGUUAAGCCCGGGGCUUUCACAUCCAACUUUCCAAACCACCUGCACACGCUUUACGCCCAAUAAUUCCGAACAACGCUAGGACCCCCCGUCUUACCGCGGCUGCUGGCAC
Molecule: ribosomal RNA, 292 nt
Filed under: uncultured bacterium
Lineage: Bacteria
Description: partial 16S ribosomal RNA
Source: RNAcentral